CCCAGCAUUUCUAGCACAGGGAUUAUUUUAAAUUAGGACCAGGCCUUAGUUUAAUUAGGACAUUUAAGACGUUUUCACAAACGUGGUAUAAAAAACAUCACUUGACACUGACACUGGUGUAUUUUACGAUGUUUUCAGUUUUGCAGAUCAACCAUCUCCUUUAUUCUAGCACUAGUCUUAAACCCUGCACGUGAAACCACCCCAAAGUAUUAUAUUUGACCCAACAAUGGGUUAAAACAACACAGCAUAGGUUAAUUUAUAACCCCCAAAUUAAAUGUGGUGUUUUUAAUACAGCUACUGUAUAUCAGAAGACCAAGAAGUGGUUGAGGCUACUUUUCAUUUUAAGAUUUUGUAACAUUGCUGGAAAAGUUCCCUAUAAGGUCUUCUGAUUCUGCUGUAAGGGUUAUACUACAGGAAGGUAUACUAUGACAGAAUUGUACUGUCAAAGCUGUUGAUCCAAUUAGAAAUUUGGAAAAUGCUGAUGCAAAUACUCCACACCAUUUAAUGGAAAGCAUGUGACGAGGAAGUCGUAAAUCUGGAUUAUAAACAAAGAGCGAGAAAAUUGCCUUGCAUGUUACAUCCUUUGGAAAAGGUCAUUCUAAAAACGGCUUUAUUUGCUGUGUGGUUUGAGCGGCCACAGGACCACAGCUGGAUGUCACUCUUGAUGUCAGAAAGUCUACAAUCUAACAGCACCUGCAAUGCCACAAGCUAUCUGGCAAGAUUUUAAGAAGGAAAAUGUCUACUCUCAUCCAAAAAUAACAACCCUCGUUGCAACCCUUAAUGACAUUGGGUUUUUAUGGCCACUUAAAAACUAAAUAAAAAGUUGCGUUUGGCACACACAGAUAGGUUGUCAUAUUUUGGCGGUUUUUCUCCCAGAGUACCUACACUCUAAAAAAUGCUGGGUUAUUUGUUUAACCCAACAGCUGGGUUGAGCCUGUUGGGUCAUUUUGUUGGGUUAUUUUCUUAGUGUUGGGUCAUUUUUUGAGUAACCCAAACGCUGGGUUACCAGUCGGGUCCAAUUGAGUGACAGUUGAGAGAGUAAACCCCUCCCACUCCUCUACGCAUCAGACAAACUUUACCUUCGCGGGCAUUUUGAUCCACUUCAUCUCGGAAAGCUGUUAUUCGGAGAAUAAAAGCGUGCAGAAUAACAGCUAAUAUUAAUGGAUCAUUCUAUUCAAGAGAAUGUCAACUGGAACUUGGAUGUUUUCAUAACAGGCUUAAAGAUGAACAAAUUGAUAAAGAAACCCUCCUGCUGGACAUCCAAUUCCAAAAGUGCACGCCACACUGUUGUCUACAACUCCCAGGAAAAGAAUCCUCUUUAGUAAGACUGCUCCGUGGAUAUUUUAGGUUAAGCAGUGCUGAAACCGAACGAACUAACACUAUUUAAAAUGUUUUGUGAGUUUA
This is a long non-coding RNA of Triplophysa dalaica, 1404 nucleotides long. RefSeq lists it as uncharacterized. NCBI's taxonomy places the organism in Eukaryota, Metazoa, Chordata, Actinopteri, Cypriniformes, Nemacheilidae. The transcript has 3 exons. The record is from RefSeq and is a predicted model, not a curated record.